RNAcentral lists this transfer RNA (77 nucleotides) under bacterium BMS3Abin09. Its description in RNAcentral is "tRNA-Met". It matches the Rfam family "tRNA". Rfam says of the family: Transfer RNA (tRNA) molecules are approximately 80 nucleotides in length. Their secondary structure includes four short double-helical elements and three loops (D, anti-codon, and T loops). RNAcentral also lists the same sequence under 1 other name. The record is from RNAcentral.
GGCGAUGUAGCUCAGCUGGUUAGAGCAUACGGCUCAUAUCCGUAAGGUCGCUGGUUCGAGUCCAGCCAUCGCUACCA